GUAGGGUGGCCGAGGGUAGGCGACGAGUUGUAGCCUCGUUUACAGGGGUAAACCCCUCACUACCAUACC
This 69-nucleotide transfer RNA is filed under the name Phelsuma v-nigra. RNAcentral describes it as "partial tRNA-Tyr". Lineage: Eukaryota; Metazoa; Chordata; Lepidosauria; Squamata; Gekkonidae. The record is from RNAcentral.